RNAcentral lists this ribosomal RNA (727 nucleotides) under uncultured Bacteroidales bacterium. RNAcentral describes it as "bacterial SSU rRNA". It matches the Rfam family "Bacterial small subunit ribosomal RNA", at positions 35 to 751 of the family's 1533-position model. Lineage: Bacteria; Pseudomonadati; Bacteroidota; Bacteroidia; Bacteroidales. The record is from RNAcentral.
GCUAGCUACAGGCUUAACACAUGCAAGUCGAGGGGCAUCAGUUUGGUUUGCUUGCAAACCAAAGCUGGCGACCGGCGCACGGGUGAGUAACACGUAUCCAACCUGCCUCAUACUCGGGGAUAGCCUUUCGAAAGAAAGAUUAGUAUCCGAUAGCAUAUAUUUCCCGCAUGGGUUUUAUAUUAAAGAAAUUCGGUAUGAGAUGGGGAUGCGUUCCAUUAGUUUGUUGGCGGGGUAACGGCCCACCAAGACUACGAUGGAUAGGGGUUCUGAGAGGAAGGUCCCCCACAUUGGAACUGAGACACGGUCCAAACUCCUACGGGAGGCAGCAGUGAGGAAUAUUGGUCAAUGGACGCGAGUCUGAACCAGCCAAGUAGCGUGAAGGAUGACUGCCCUAUGGGUUGUAAACUUCUUUUAUAUGGGAAUAAAGUGGUCCACGUGUGGAUUUUUGUAUGUACCAUAUGAAUAAGGAUCGGCUAACUCCGUGCCAGCAGCCGCGGUAAUACGGAGGAUCCGAGCGUUAUCCGGAUUUAUUGGGUUUAAAGGGAGCGUAGGCGGAUUGUUAAGUCAGUUGUGAAAGUUUGCGGCUCAACCGUAAAAUUGCAGUUGAUACUGGCAGUCUUGAGUGCAGUAGAGGUGGGCGGAAUUCGUGGUGUAGCGGUGAAAUGCUUAGAUAUCACGAAGAACUCCGAUUGCGAAGGCAGCUCACUGGAGUGUACUGACGCUGAUG